Molecule: ribosomal RNA, 381 nt
Filed under: uncultured bacterium
Lineage: Bacteria
Description: bacterial SSU rRNA
Rfam family: Bacterial small subunit ribosomal RNA
Source: RNAcentral
GACGAACGCUGGCGGCGUGCCUAACACAUGCAAGUCGAACGGGGGUAGCAAUACCUCAGUGGCGAACGGGUGCGUAACACGUGAAGAAUUUGUCCAACGGCGGGGGAUAGCCGGCCCAACGGCCGGGUAAUACCGCGUACGACCCUCGGGGGGCAUCCCCUGAAGGUGAAAGCCGCAAGGCGCCGAUGGAGAACUUCGCGGCCUAUCAGCUAGUUGGUGAGGUCAUGGCUCACCAAGGCGACGACGGGAGCUGGUCCGAGAGGAUGACCAGCCACAUUGGGACUGAGACACGGCCCAGACUCCUACGGGAGGCAGCAGUGGGGAAUAUUGGACAAUGGGCGCAAGCCUGAUCCAGCGAUGCCGCGUGUGUGAAGAAGGCCU